Long non-coding RNA from Chenopodium quinoa (quinoa), 1100 nucleotides. RefSeq lists it as uncharacterized. The record is from RefSeq and is a predicted model, not a curated record. The transcript has 2 exons. NCBI's taxonomy places the organism in Eukaryota, Viridiplantae, Streptophyta, Magnoliopsida, Caryophyllales, Amaranthaceae.
UAUUGCAUCAACCACUCAUUCCAACAUUAAGAUAGAAAUAUUUGUAUAAUGUUGAGGGGAUAUUAGAGUUUACAAAAAAUUAUGGUAAAAUUAGUUUUGAAAAAACUAACUAGAUAGAUAAUAAUGAAAGGAUUCAUCAUUUGCUUUUGGAUAUGGUUGAUUGUUGUCCUGUCACCCCUCAGAUUUGAUUAUGAGGACGCGAGUGCAACUUCGACCGUGGUUACUCUGUCUAAUUGUCACUACGACAUCGGCUUGUAGGUACAUAAACUAUACUUGUUUAAUUAUUUAAUUUAUGCCAUUAAUUGAUUUAUAUAAUGAAGUCUUCUUAUAAACUUGGUGCCAACAUAUGACAAACAAAUUAAAAUAUUAGGCUUCUAUUGCAACGAAUAUGAAGGGGAAAUCAGGUAAGCAACAUCGUGAACGAUGUUUUAACCAGUUACGGCCAUGUAGCAAUUCAAGCAAAUCCAGACAGGAAGUGUCGCAGAGAAGGCAUAGUGAUCGACCUAAGGGAAGAGAUUUCACAGAAUCCAAGAAGCUUGCCAGAGAUAUUGCAGGACCAAAAGAGGAAGAUAAUAGAGAAAGAUGUGGUGACUAGUAGUAAAGAGGCAAGGCUGGAGAAAACUCAACAUAAAAACAAGGAAAACAGGCCCAUUGUGAUGGUUAUUGAAGCGAAAAAGGAAGUGGAACAACAGCAGGGCAAAAAAAUUAAGGUUAACAAAGACAAUAGCUAUUGAAAAGGUCGGGUUCAAGCUAGUGCAGAAAAAAGCACCAGAUGAGGUCAAGUACAGGCUAGUGCAGGAAAAGACCCCAUGAAAGGUCAAGAAAUAGUUGGUGAAGGCAUACGCUCAAGAACAGGUUGGGAACAAGCUAGUGAAGGCGGAAGCUCCGGAAAAGGUGAGAUUCAAGCUAGUGAAGACAGAAGCGUCGGAUGUGGUCAAAAACAAGCUAGUGUGAAACUAAUAAUACAGAUAAAAUAUUUACUAAAAGUAUGAGAAAGAAAAAACAUAAAAAACCAUAAAUGAACAAAUUUAGGAGGGUUUCCUUCCCACAAAAAAUAAAAAACUAAAAAUAAGGGCAUGUUCUCUUACGUUGAAAUUCAA